ACUAUUCCUUGGGAUUGGCUUUGAGCCUUUCUUGCUCAGCUUAGGUGGAAGGCGUAUAGGGCCUCCUUCCGGAGGGCCCGAGCCAUCAGUGAGAUACCACUUUGGAAGAGCUAGAGUUCUUACCUUGUGUCAGGACCUACGGGCCAAGGGACAAUCUCAGGUAGACAGUUUCUAUGAGGCGUAGGCCUCCCAAAAGGUAACGGAGGCUUGCAAAGGUUUCCUUGGGCCGGACGAGAUUGGCCAUCGAGUGCAAAGGCAGAAGGGAGCUUGGCUGAAUCCCGUGAAACCAUUUCAUAGAAGUUCAUUGAUAUAUUCUUUUUAUAAAGCAAA
Non-coding RNA from Gossypium hirsutum (cotton), 330 nucleotides. The record is from Rfam. NCBI's taxonomy places the organism in Eukaryota, Viridiplantae, Streptophyta, Magnoliopsida, Malvales, Malvaceae.